CAGUCGCCACGGGAAUACGUAGGGUGCGAGCGUUAAUCGGAAUUACUGGGCGUAAAGCGUGCGCAGGCGGUUAUAUAAGACAGAUGUGAAAUCCCCGGGCUCAACCUGGGACCCGCAUUUGUGACUGUAUAGCUAGAGUACGGUAGAGGGGGAUGGAAUUCCGCGUGUAGCAGUGAAAUGCGUAGAUAUGCGGAGGAACACCGAUGGCGAAGGCAAUCCCCUGGACCUGUGCUGACGCUCAUGCACGAAAGCGUGGGGAGCAAACAGGAUUAGAUACCCCAGUAGUCCCUGUCUCUUAUAC
Molecule: ribosomal RNA, 301 nt
Filed under: uncultured bacterium
Lineage: Bacteria
Description: partial 16S ribosomal RNA
Rfam family: Bacterial small subunit ribosomal RNA
Source: RNAcentral